RNAcentral lists this ribosomal RNA (497 nucleotides) under uncultured bacterium. Its description in RNAcentral is "partial 16S ribosomal RNA". It matches the Rfam family "Bacterial small subunit ribosomal RNA", at positions 28 to 507 of the family's 1533-position model. The record is from RNAcentral.
GAUGAACGCUGGCGGCGUGCCUAAUACAUGCCAGUCGAGCGAACAGACGAGGAGCUUGCUCCUCUGACGUUAGCGGCGGACGGGUGAGUAACACGUGGAUAACCUACCUAUAAAACUGGGAUAACUUCGGGAAACCGGAGCUAAUACCGGAUAAUAUAUUGAACCGCAUGGUUCAAUAGUGAAAGACGGUUUUGCUGUCACUUAUAGAUGGAUCCGCGCCGCAUUAGCUAGUUGGUAAGGUAACGGCUUACCAAGGCAACGAUGCGUAGCCGACCUGAGAGGGUGAUCGGCCACACUGGAACUGAGACACGGUCCCGACUCCUAAGGGAGGCAGCAGUAGGGCAUCUUCCGCAAUGGGCGAAAGCCUGACGGAGCAACGCCGCGUGAGUGAUGAAGGUCUUCGGAUCGUAAAACUCUGUUAUUAGGGAAGAACAAAUGUGUAAGUAACUAUGCACGUCUUGACGGUACCUAAUCAGAAAGCCACGGCUAACUACGUG